CACAAUCUGGUGCGCGAUAACGCGCGGAGCUCACGUUUUCGCAGUGAGAUCGCCACCGCGGAGACGCCGGAGUUCGCGUCCCCGGAUCAGGU
This 92-nucleotide transfer RNA is filed under the name Mycobacteroides franklinii. RNAcentral describes it as "tRNA-Val". Lineage: Bacteria; Bacillati; Actinomycetota; Actinomycetes; Mycobacteriales; Mycobacteriaceae. The record is from RNAcentral.